Long non-coding RNA from Carassius carassius (crucian carp), 828 nucleotides. RefSeq lists it as uncharacterized. Lineage: Eukaryota; Metazoa; Chordata; Actinopteri; Cypriniformes; Cyprinidae. The record is from RefSeq and is a predicted model, not a curated record. The transcript has 3 exons.
GUUUUGCUCAUUUUCUUCGAGGAUUGACUAGCUUCUUCCAAACCACAUUGUGCCCAAACAAUGAGUUUGAUUAGAUGCACAACCUUUGACAUCAAUAACAAAGAUAUGACCUGUGACCCUUUUGUGUGCUGCGCUUAGGGACGAUGUCAUCACCAUGGGCCUCAGAGAUGGAAAAAUGACAGGGCUAUGCAGGGGGUCGAGAGUUCCUGGCUGUAACGUGACCCUGCAGAUGCUUCAGUCAUGCCUGCUAUGAGAGGCCUCUGUUUGGGCCACAGCCCCCUCCUCCGGGGUCUGGAUGGCCUGUCCACCACUGCUGGGGGUUUUGUUGGGAGGAUGUGGGAUGGCCGAACAACACAGAGCCGGAUACACAGUGGCCAUGAACCAGCCCCAUCUAUCCCACGCUCCACCUGCUAGACAUACAUCACCAAGACCAUCUGCAGCAAUUCUGCAACCUGCUUCCUCAACUGGACACAAUAACACACUGGAGUUGUUAGUUUGUUUCCUCAGCCCAUGUGAGCUCAAUAUUAAGUUCCAACCAAGGUCAGUUGAAAAGAAUCAAAGCAGGGAGCAGAGAUAGAAAGAAUGAGAAAGUAAAGCCAAGAAGAGCAUUUGAAUAAAAGGAUUCCAAUACAUUGUGCAAUGCUUUAGUAGUUUCAGGUCACGUAUUAUAAUUACUUGCUUUGAGUGCAAACUUGGUCUGUGCUGCCACUUUGUGGUCAUAGUUGUAAUAAUUUGUUAGAAAUGAUCUGCUCUGACUCCAAUGUGAAAUGUUUUCAAAUUUACAUAUACUUUCUAUACCCUUUUGAAACAUUUCCAUAUACAGGAAUC